Molecule: non-coding RNA, 323 nt
Organism: Paramuricea clavata
Lineage: Eukaryota; Metazoa; Cnidaria; Anthozoa; Malacalcyonacea; Plexauridae
Source: the annotation of a GenBank genome assembly
CCCUUCAACUAUUAUUGAAUUGAGUGAGAAGCCAGGUUCCCGGGAGCACAACCUGGAGACAAAAAUUUCCUUUAUUAGUAUUAGAGUAUUUUUGUGCUAAAUCUGCAUGUGCAUAAACAUAUAGUGUUCGCGAUCUAGCUGACCAUGGUUUUAAAUUCAAGGAAUAAUGUCUGUCAACCAUAUGUUGUUGCACCCAUAGUGGGACAUGGGUGUUAAGGUUUCCUUCAAAUGUUAAUCAAUAGCAAAUCUUCAUUCAAACAAAUUUCCUGCAGCUGUUUAACAUUGGGUCAUUCCAGAGAACAUCCAUACCACCCCCACGGAGG